GAGAUGAUUCACGAACCACGUUUGAUAUGAUUUGACCCCAACAAUAAGGAAAGAUCAUAAGCAUCCUAAGAUUGUUCAUCAUCUCGAAAGUGUUUGGAUGUACUUCAACUUCUUCCAUUUUAUUCUCAUUUAGUAAUAUACAUUGUAUUACAUCUGACCCCUGAAAGUAAAUCAAUGUAAUUAUGAAAAAAACUAAAUAUGAAAUGUAGCAUUGUAGUUUAACAACUAAGUGAUUAUUAAUUUAUCAGAGAGUAUAUCUAUGUGACUUGUUCAAUUGAGUAAUGAUAAAAUGUACCUUGUUCUUUCUUAAGACAUCACGAAUUUCUUCAGCCUUGAACAAUCUGCUACGUUUUCCAGGAUGCUCGGGACACUCUUUACGAACAAUUUCUUGUAUUAGAUCGUGCAUCACAAUUCUACCAUCCGAAAUAGAUAUGAGGCAUUUAUCUUUGAGAACAUCCAUUCCGAUCUUAGAAGAGAAACCACAAUCAUCUAGUGUUUCUGCUACUACAAUUUCCCCGUGUCCUCUAUAAAAGCAAGCAAUGUCAAGAAAUAUAUUCUUCUCCUCCUCACGGAGCCCAUCGUAACUUAAUUUUAAUACAUUGAAAAUAUUAUGAUCUUGACACUUCUCCAAGUUUUGCAACUGACUUUCCCAUGCUUCUCUUUGUCUGCCAUAUAACAAUGAACCCAAAAUUUGGAGAACUAANGGAACNCCUNUUGCAUAUCGCAACACCUUUACUGACAAGUCCAUGNAAGUAAUUUCUUNUGAAGAAUUUUGUNUAAAAGCAUGUAAGUUAAAAAGUUUUAGAGAAUCAUGAAAAUUCAACUCCUUAAGUUCGUAGAUAUCAUCAGCCCCAGCAUUCUUAAGCACUUGUCUAUCUCUACUGGUCAUAAUGAUUCUACUGCCUUGCCCAAAGCUAUCACGUUCUCCCAUUAAUUUGUUAAGUUGAGUUGAAUCUGUCACAUCAUCAAGAAUGAGGAGGACCUUUGUUCGUUUGAGUCUUCCAUUGUAAUAUGAUAAAUGAGUGGAUGAUGUUUCCUUUAGAAGCUCAGACUUAUAUUUGUUUAUGAUAUUAUAUAUUCCCUCUUUUUGUAGUUUUUCUUGAACAUCUAAAAUAAGACUAUGGGAAUCAAAUUGCAUUGCCAAUGUGUGAUAUAAUUGCUCAGAAAUCGUAGUUUUUCCUAUUCCUCCCAUGCCACAAAUUCCUAUGAUCCUAACAUCUGGUGACUCUAAAUGCAACAAGGACUGAAUUCCUUCUAUGUGUUUUUCAAUACCGAUGAUUUUUUUAUCAUAACUGAUGGAAUACCGAUUUAGUUUUCUUAAAAUAUCUUCCACAAUUUCUUCAACAAGUUUGUAUUCUGGCCUGGAAAAUGACUUGGGAAAUAAAGUAUUAGCAUUGAAGCACAAAGACAUAACUAAAAUAAAGAANAAUACAGAGCCAAGAAAAGUAAACAUCAUUGAAUAAAUUCAUGGAUGGAUUCAAGCUUUGAGUUCUAGAUAAAAAUAAAUAAAUUAUAUAUGUAAUCAAUUAAAAAGUUUAACAUUUUAUACACGUUAUCUUCUUAUAUUAAUUUGGUUGAUUUAGAUAUUACUAAUCAAUAUCGCAUAAAUUCUAACUUUGUUUUUAGAUAUUUCACUUAAAACGUAAGAAUUUAAAAUUCUUUAUUUUUAAAUGUAUAUUUCGGUUUUUAUAGUUUAGAUCGACCUAAGUCUGGAUAUUAUUCUGUUCAACCAAACUCAAUUUGAUUUGAUAUGGCCCUAAUAUAAUAUUAUCUUACUUAAAUUUGACUGGGUUUAUAAUUUCAUAAGUUGAAAAUAAUCCCAUUUAAUGUAAAUUAAGAAAAAACAUUGCAAAUAUAAAAUGUAAAUUUUUUUUAAGAACUUUAACAAAAACAAUAACAUUAAUCAAAGAUUGACUAUAAAAAAAUAACAAAUANUAAUGUUUUUUUAAUUUUAACAAUUAUUUAAUAUUUAAAUAGUUUUUUUUUUCAAUUUGAUAGUAAUCGAAACAUUUUAUCCUAAUAAGAAAAAUGAAAAAUUAUUAAUUUUGAAUGACCUUAUUCAAAUAAUACACUUGAAAAAUAAAAUAAUUUAAAGUAAGAUCAUUCAAACUACCUCUACUUGAAAGAGUUAAAAGUUUUGAAAUUAUUUAUAGAAACAGGAAUUAGUUGUUUGUUUGUGACUUUGAUGAUAGGAAGCAGACUGGUAUGUAAAAAGUUAAACUGUAACAAGAGAUAUGGUCAAAUCCAUGGCCGACUAUGAGAAAUGAAAAAAAGAAACACUUGAUCUAUGAUGAGAUCAACACAAUUUUAAUAAAUGAAAAGAGAUUCUGAGAUUAUCUUAAAAGUGAAUGUAAGAAAUAUAAUGACCUGGUGACGUUUGAAUCCCAGCCGGAGAGUCCAGCAGCUUCCGUUAGAGCAUCCUUCCAUCCUUGGACUUUGUUCAUGUUUUCCCUAAACCGUAGUUCAUGCUCUUCAAAUGCUUCUUUGUAUCUCUUUUCCUGUUUUCUGACAGUUGAUGGAUCAACCUUGUAGAAAACGGGUAUCACAUCCCUUCCAUAUUUCUUCUUGCAAUCCAGUAUUUUAGUCAGUUCAUUCAAGCACCACGUCGAAGAUGCAUAGUUUUCAGAGAAAACCAGGACAUAUAUCUUUGAUUCUUCUAUUGCAGUUUGCAGUGCAGGUGAAAUUUCUUCUCCCCUGAGUAGCCUGUAAUCAAUAUAUCCUUCAACGUGCUUCCUUUGCAAUGCUGCGUAAAGGUGACUAAUGAAGUUGUCACGCGUGUCAUCUCCUCUGAAAUUCAGAAACACAUCGUACCUAGUAAGAGAAGUACACAUGGCGAAUGAUGAAGAACUUCCUGACAUUAAAAUCAAUUCUCUCCUUUCUCUGCAACUCUCAAGCUCUUGGAUUCUAAAAAUUUUUAUACUAUCAAUUUAGAAACCAAAGUAUAUAUUUAUACCAUUUCCAUCCAAAGUCAACUCUGCUGCUACGACACAUGAUGAAAAGCAAGCCACAAAUAUGAAAUAAUCUUUUUCCAAAAAAUAAAGCAUUAGUUGUCGAGUACAGCAACUAAGUCGGCAAAAUAAGACUUCUUUUUAUAAAUGGGUAAUUUUUUAAAACUUUUAAGCAAAAUAUACCUUUUCCUUGUAAAAGAUAAGUAAAAUUUAAAAAAUUCUCUAGCAGCUAAGGGCAUUAAUUAUCAAAAACUUAUUUUUCAUUUUUAUAUAAUUUAUUUGUAUUACCAAUACAUGUAAUUGAGAUUGAGGUUUUAAUUUACAAUUUUUUUUAAAAGAAUUAUGGAUUUCAUAUAUCUUUAUUAUUAAAUACUUUUUAUAGCGUUCAAAAAAAUGAGGUAGUUCCUUGUAAAGCGGCUCACCAAUUAUACAUUGGUCUGCACUGAUUCAAUUAUUAAACAAAAGCAAAAAGCUUUUUUCUUUUGUUUCUUCGUAUAAUCGUGCAGCAAAGCUUUUUUUUUUUCUGUUGUUUCUUCGUAGAACCGUAAAGCCAAAGCCUUUUUCUUUUGUUUCUUCGUAUAACCGUGAAACCAAAGCUUUUUUUUUUUCUUUCCUUUAUAUAAGUCAAACCAGAAGACAGGACUGAUUUGUUAUAAUUAACUAAAGAAUUAAUUUUUUUAUAUGACUAAUGUGAAAUAUUAUAAAAUGUUAUUUUAUUAUUAUUAUUAUUAUUAUUAUUAUUAUAAUUAUGAUUUUGAUGAUGAGAAGUCAUAAUAAAAUAAAAUAAAAAAAUUUCUUAAUCCAUGUUUUUUUUAAUAAAAGGGAUAAAGGAUUUGUUUCUGGUUUGACCAUAAAGUUCUUAAAAAAAAUGAGAGGAGAAAGAAAUAUAAAAAGAUAAUUAGAAAAACGAAGUUAAAAAAUAAGAGAAAUUGAAAAAUAUAUUUUCAUUGGAUUUUUCAUAAAUCAAUAUAAAAUACACUGUUAUGAUUUAUUCAUGUUAAUAGGUGAGAAACAUGAAUCUUAAUUUUAUAAAGUAAUUUUGAAAAAUAAACUAAUAACUUAAGAAAACUACAACUUAGCCUACAUAUAAUAUCAAAGAUUUAUGAUUGUCUCUUGUUAUGAUUUUAAUUUUCAAAUUAAGAUAAACUCUAUUAUAAAUUUAGGAAUUGCUCUAUAAAAUUAACAUGAACCUUAAUUUAUGUUUUUCUUUAAAUUGAUUUAUACACCUAAUUAUUAAAUUUAGAGAUUUUAUGUAUCCGCUGCAAUUUGGCUUGUGACAUGAAUAAUGGAUUAAAAUAAUUAAAAAAAUGAGACUACCUUACCUUACCUGAAUUGGAUGCAGAAAUCGAAAGGGUACAAUUGCAGAUUGAUCCAUCCUAAAGCUCCUGUUACCGGUUUUAACUAACUAAAUAUUUUAAUUGCAAAUUACAUUAUUGUUAUUUUGAUAAUUAUAAUUGAUGUAUAUUUAAAAUAUCAUUAUUAUUAUAAUAUGAUUAGCAUAAUUAUGUUUUAUUGUAUUAUAAUGGAUCUUUCAAAGAAAACAUUAAUAUGCAUAGAAUAGUCAUUUGUUUAUGAAUAUAUAUUUAUGUUUAAUUUUAUGACUCAAAACAUUAAUACUAAUCAUGUACUAAUUACAGUUUAUUCCGGUAUAUUUAUAUACAUUCGUUACGUCUAUUUUAGUCUUUAAUAUUCUGAUAUUUUUAUAUUCGUUGGUUAUGUGUAUUUUAAUCUUUGAUAUUCUGGUAUCUUUAUAUUAGUUUGUUACGUAUAUUUUAGUCUGUCUAUUGUAGUCUUUAAUAGGUUGAAUAGCAAGAAUGGAGAAUCGAGUCUUCUUUCUCUACAUUUUAGGAAUAAUCGAUUUUCAUAUUCUCGUAUUUUUGUUAGCUGCAGAGUGAUAUCGUCAGUGAUUUUGUGUGCUUGUAGUGGUUAGUUGUGUGAGGUUGAUGCUUGAUCUUGCUGGCGGUGCAGGUGCCCCAUUGAUGGCUGUGAUUUGAAGGUUAAAAAGGAACAACUUUUUAAAAAAAAUAAAAACAUAGUUAACUCUUACAAAAAUUUUGGAACAGCUAAGGGUAUUAAUUGUUAAUAAUUUAUUUUCCACUUUUUUAUAAUUUAUUUUUACAAUAAAGAUAUGUAAUUGAGAUUGAGUUUUUAAUUUACACUUUAUUUUUGUAAAGAAUAAUGGAUUUCAUAUAAUUUUAUUAUUAGAUAUUUUGUAUAGCUUUGAAAAAAAUCGUAUAUAUUAUAUAAAUUCAAAUAAAUUGUCUUCAACUUUAUUGUCAAACUACAGAUAUAAAGAAUUAACCAUCACCCACUCAAAUGAAACAAGAAUAAACGAAGAUCAACAACAAAUAACUUGUUAUCAUCUUCACUCUUCCACGUUAACCAAGCAAACGAUUAUAUGGUUUUACAGCCCCAUGCACAAACCAAAUACAAUCAUAUCAUAUUCAAUUUCCAUAAACAGUAGCUGUCGUAAAAUUGGAAUUUUUUAAGUUUGGAGUGUCAAAGAAACAUUUUCCAUAAUGAAAUGCAGCUUUCAUAAUGCCUUCGCUGCAAAUGAAAGCCAAAUAUGCUAAAGAAGUUAACGAAGCCGAUAAGUGAACAGUUUCAAGAAAAUGCAACUUUGGGACAACGGAUCAACUCAACGUCGACAUCAAACUAUAUCUUAGAAAUCUUGUCAACUACUGAAGGAACCCACCUGCAAAAUGCCAUUGAAAAUGUAAAUAAAAUAAAAAUUAAAAAUGAGAAAUUCAUAAUAAAAGUUGAACGUUUUGAAACUUGUAAUUAAAAAGUAUCGGUGAUAAGCCACACUCACCAACUGAAGACCAAUUAGCAGAAAAGCAAGAGACUAGCCCACUAUAAGUAGCUUUCUGCCUUCCUCUUGCUGUCUUCCUUUGUUUCCAUUGAAGACUCUCCAACAUUGCUUCCGCUUCUAUAAAGAGGGCAUAAGCCGCAUUCUUUUAUUGUCACAACUGAUCGGAACUCUCUCACCAUUUCUCCGUAAUAUCGAAUGAUCUCAAAAGUGAAUCUGCAAGCAUCACAGAGCCUAAGGUUCAUGCAGCUCCUCCUUAGACUCUCCAAGUUAAAUUUCCACAUGAAUGUGUGAUCUUGAUUGACAAAUCUGUUUUUACCAUUCCAUUUGAAAUAGUUCUGAAACAGAUCAUUAUUUGGAAUAAUCUGUGUGCCAUAAUCAUCACAUUCAAAUUUUAGGCGGUAUCUAAAAGAACCACGUCUACCAUUAAUAUCAUUGCUAUCAAACAAUCCAAAAGCCACACACAAAGCGAAACCAAUGAGUCUGUCAUCACUGCAGAAACUUAAAUCUUCAUUUAUAGUCACAGAGCAUCCCUUCCCACGAAAGGGGAACCAAUGAGGAAUUGCAGUCCCUGGAUAACAGAAGAACACAGACCUAUAUGCAUAGUCGGUCAUCCUGAGCCUUGCAUCCUCCUCAAUGUUAGCACGAGCACCUGAAUCCAGUUGUUGGGCAUUGGUGAAAUGAAAUUUGAAGACACCCUCCUUCGACCCUGAGAGGUUUCGAUUUGACAUCACUUGUCUAAUGGAUGGGCAAUCCAAUGCCACCAGUUGUUUUAGACAUGAUGGAAUCUGUGGGAUGCACUCAAGCCUUUUGCAAUCGCUCAAAUCAAGCGAUUUCAAGCUCGAAAGAUGAGCAAUGCUCUCAGGAAGGUUCACGAUUCCGCUAUCAUUCAGUAACAGUUCCAUUAAUGACGUCAACCGACCUAUGUGUCUUGGGAUUUCUGUUAAUUUGUGACACCCCGAACAAUCAAGUUUACAGAGAUGCUUUAGAUUAACAAUGGAGUUUGGAAGUGACUCGAGAUUCCUGCAUUUGUUGAGCUGCAGGGAUCGAAGACUAACCAAAUUGUCAAAUGAGGAAGGCAGUUCUUUGAUAGCAGUUUCUGAUAAGUCAAUGUAAGAAAAAGUUUGUGCCUGCUCGGUGAUCUUUGGGAAUGUCCUCAACCUUAAGCAACGAUACAAAUCAAGUUUCCUCAACUUCAAUUUGAAAAUGGUGUUUGGAAAAGUUUGAAGUGAAUGACAGUUGGUAAGGUGUAACUUGCAUAGUCUGGUGAGCCUUCCAAUGGAAGAUGGAAUAAUCUCAAGAUUCCUGCAACCGUACAAAUUCAGUUCUUGAAGCCCUACCAAACGCCCCAAGGAUGAAGGGAGUGCCUUUAUGCUUGUGUUGUUUAAGCUUAGAAUCGCUAAAUUUUCCAUCGUGUCCUCAAUCUCGGGGAAAUUUUCCAAUUUUGAGCAACCACUGAGAAAAAGUUUCUUUAGGAAUUUCAUCUCAGAAAGGACAAAUGGAAAUGUUGUGAGGGAAGAACAGUGCGAGAGAUCUAUUAAACAGAGCUUCUUGAGACUUAAGUUUAACGACACACCUCCAGUGAGUUGUAUCGGCAUUUCAUCAUUAGUUACUUCUUUUUCUUCAUCUGUUCCCCAAUAUCGGUCAAAAGUAAUGGAGAAAAUUUCAUUGGAAUAGAAUCUCGAGGGAAGGCUAGCAAAAGACUGGAGCUCGUUAAAGGAAUUUCGACGUUGACGCCGCAGUUUGACAUGAGGACCGAUUAAUGAUGAUGAUGGUGGAGAAUAAUAUAUUUGGGUUUGAGUGGUUGAAAACAUUUCAAGCUCCCCACACCGGGAAAGAAGAAUCAAUCCUGGUGAUUUGGUUAGAAUAUUGCUGGGAAUUAUUACACUUUUGAGAUUAUGACACUCAUCUAAACUUAAAUAACUGAGCUUGGUGAGUAAUAUGGAAGAGUGAACUUUAAUCAACUUUCGACAAUAAUUGAGAAUUAUUUCUUCAAUAUUUGGUGACAUGGAAAGAUCUUGUAUUCUAGUAAGUUUCGAAGACCAACUCAGGUCGAGCCUUUUCAACUUGGGUAAACUCUGCCACAAAAUGAAAAUGAAUAAGGUAAUAAAGAAAACCUAAAAUGAAGCUUAUCUAUUUUUCUUCAAUAAACUCCUACUUACAUUAUCUGUUGAGUUUACGUUGAACAAACAAAAUUAUAGUGGCUAUAAAUUUGAUACUUGUUAUAAAAAUUCACAAAAUUUAACAUGUUUUCUUUCCUAUCUAAAUUUACAUCCUAAUAAUUCCAACUUGAUGAAAGUAAUUUAUAAUAGAUGACAAUGUGGAAAUACUUUAUAUUAUGCAUGUAUCAAAUAUUUACCUUUGUUUAUCUUCUCUCAUCUUUCUUCUUCUUUCUAAUAAAAAUAUAUUGUAAAAAUUUAAAUAAGAAUAAGAAUAAACUGAAAAAGUGAGUUAAAAUUGAACAUUAGGUAAGUUGAAUGUUAAUGUUAAGUGAUGCAGACAAUGUAUAAAUCCAUCUUUCCGUGAUUUAUUAAAUACAUAAUUUAUUAUAGGUUAUAUUAAAGUUAUAUGAUAAUAAAAAGUUAGAUUAAUUAAGUUUAAGUCUUUAAUAAAUUUAAAUUUAUUUAAUUAAGUUAGUUUCAAUUUCUUUUAUAUUUUGUAAAUAAGAUAUUAAAUUUAUAUAUUUCACUUGUUUAAUUUUUCAAUUAAUCAUAUGAUAUGAAUGUUAUUUUGCUUAUUUCUCAACAUAUUAAUAAAUAAAAUUAAUAAAAGCUUCACUAAAAUAUUUAAAUUUAUAAUACCACGUAAAAACUUCAAGGAUAAUUGGCAUAAAUGAACAAUAAAUAAACUCAUAUUAGAUAUUAAAACAUAUUUUUUAAUCUAAAAUUUUAACAUAAUCGGUUUGUAGUUCUUAUAUUAUUUCCGUCUUAUUCAUUUUUACACAAUAUAGGAUUUUCAACUUAUCUUAAAUUUCUAAUCAGAGAAAUAAUGUGUUUUAUGUUUCAGGAACUUAUUAAAUAUUACAACAAGUAGCAUUGUUAAACUGUUAGAGAGAGAAAAGAUCGAAGUCUCUCUCCUUUAGAUAUAUUUAUUCAAGUCACAAAAGGUUUAUUAAGAAGGAUUGUCACUCAAGUUAUUUUGAACAUUGAAGUAAAAAAAUCUUCCUUUUUGGAUUAGGAAACGAGGUCGUUCUAUGAGGCUGAUGAUGAGUAUAAGAUGCAUGAAUAUGUAUACACAAGUGUAUGAUAUACAUGAUGUUAUAUAUUGUAUGUGAUUCCAUUGAUGACAAUUAUGAGUGACCUUACAUGCAUUUUGCCCUUUUAUGAGUGUGUUUUGGCCUUUUAUAUAUGGAUAUGUUUUGACCCUUUUAUGAGCAUGUGGUGACGGAUAUCUAAGGUUGUAUUAUGACGGAAAUAUUAAAUACAAAACUUAUUAUAGAAAAAAGAUGUUUUAGGAAUCAAUGGUGAUAUAACCACAAAAAUUAAAGUAUGAAAUGGUGAGAGGUUGAAGAAGGUAUGACUAUGAAGUUAUCAUAAGUGGAAAAAACUAUUUUGACCUAAAAAAUUGAGAACGAAUUUUCCAAAAUAUAUACUAAUGAUAGGUUAUGUACAUUUAUAUUUAAAUAAUUUUGAGAAUAAAGUUAGAACAAGAUAAUUCUUUUUAGUAAUAUAUCUAGUAGUUAUAAGCAAGAAUGAUUGUAUUAAACAGGGGUGCUUCAAAUAAUACAGAAGAAAAAGAUAACAUUUCAAUAUCUUUUAUACAUUAGAAUAAAUUAUCUACACACAAAUAUCUCUUAUAAAGUAAAAAAAAAACAAGCACUCUAUUCAGAUACCUCACACAUAAUAUGGAUAGACAAUACAAUCAUGGACCAUAAAAUGAAAUGCAUCUUCUACAUAUUUGAUUUUUAAUUAUCUUUAGAAGCAUGCUAAAUAUGAUUGUAAUGAUAUAUGCACAAUUGAGUAGAUCUAAGAAAAGAAGAUUUAAAACAAAUAAUAUGGAGUAGGCACAAAGGAAUUACUAAUGAAAACAUAUUUAGAUGUAUAGUACAUAAAAAUACUCGUAAUUAAGUUUAGAUCAUAAAGGAAUAUAGAUAACUUGAAAAACCUGAUCUUCUUCCCAAAGUUGUUCAAGAUGACAGUGUGGCAUUUCGAGUCUCACUAGAUUUUCUGGGCAAAAGUUCGGUGGUAAAGAUCUUUGAGGGAAACCUUUCCAAUAAAGAAUCUUUAAAGUGUCUGGUAGAGUUACAAGAGACGAUGCAAGAAACACUCUGGAUUCGCUUUGAGGCUCAUAAGAUAAAUAAUCAGAGAGCAUAAGCAUCCUAAGAUUAUCCAUCUUUUGGAAAGCUUGUCCAUCUACUAUAACAUCUUUUUUUAUUUCCCAAGUACCUAAUAAGAUACACUGAAUUGCAUCUGACCCCUAAAAGUAAAUCAAUGUAAUUAGAAAAUAAAUAAACAUGAAAUAUUCCAUAUGGUUAAUAAUAACUCAGUGGUUUGCACUUUAAGAAAAGUAAAUCCAUGUGACUCUUUCAAUUGAGUGAUAAUAGAACAUACCUUGUUCUUUUUUAAAACCUCAUGAAUUUCCUCAUCCUUGAACAAUCGACUGCGUUUUCCAGGAUAUUCAGGACACUCUUUACGAACAAUUUCUUGACCCAUUUCUUGUAAUAGAUCGUGCAUCACAAUUCUACCAUCAAAGAUAGAUAUUAGACAUCUGUCUUUGAGAACAUCCAUUCCAAUCUUAGAAGAAAAACCACAUUCAUCUAGUCUUUCUACUACCUCACUUUCCUCGUCUCCCCUGUAAAAGCAAGCGAUGUCAAGAAAUAUAUUCUUCUCCUCCUCGUCAAGUCCAUCAUAACUUAAUUUCAAUACAUUAAAAAUUUCAAGAUGUUGGCAUUUUUCCAACUUUUGUAAUUGACUUUCCCAUGCUUCUCUUGUUCUACCAUAAAGUAAUGAACCCAAAGUUUGGAGAACUAAUGGAAUUCCUUUUGCAUAUCUCAACACCUUUUCUGUCAAGUCCUUGUACGUUAUUUCUUGUGAAGAGUUUUGUUUAAAAGCAUGUAAACUAAAAAGUUUUAGAGAAUCAAGAUCAUUCAACUCCUUAACAUCGUAGAUGUCAUCAGCUCCAACAUUCUUUAACACUUGUCUGUCUCUACUGGUUAUAAUGAUUCUACUGCCUUGUCCAAAACUAUCAUGCCUUCCUAGCAAUUGUUUAAGUUGAACUGAAUCGGUAACAUCAUCAAGAAUGAUAAGAAUCCUCAUUCGUUUGAGUCUUUCACUGUACUCAGACAUAUAUUUUUUUCUGACAAUGUCUAUUCCAUCUCGUUCUAUUUUUCUUUUAGUGUCUAAAACAAGACUUCUGGAAUCAAAUUGCAUUCCCAAUGUGUGAUAUAUUUGUUCAGAAAUUGUAGUUUUUCCUAUUCCUCCCAUGUCACAAAUUCCUAUGAUCCGAAUAUCUGAUGACUCAAAAUGCAUCAAGAACCGAAUUCUUUCAAUAUGUUUUUCAAUGCCGAUAAUUCCUUGAUCAUAACUACUGGAAUAAAGAUCCAAUUUUUUCACAAUAUCUUUCACAAUUUCUUCAACAAGUAUGUUUUCUGACCUGAAAGAUAAUUUGAAAAAAAAAAAGUUUUAGUAUUCAAGCACAAAGCUAAACUAAACUAAAGAAAAAUUCAGAAGAGUGAACAUAAUUGAAGAGAUGUUCAACGUAAGUAUAAGACAUUAUCUUCAGUUUGGUUGGUUUAAGAAUUGAAAAUCAAGAUUGCAAAAGUUCUACAGUAACUGUUUGUGACUUUUGAUACUGGAGAACAGACUUGUAGAAAGUUAAACUAUUUAACAAAGUGAUAUGAUGAAAUCCAUGACCCAUUAAGAGAAGGGGAAAAAAGAAACACUUAAACUAUGAUGAGAUCGACAGAUUUUAGUAAAUGAAAAGAGAUACUGAAUAUCUGAAAAGUGGAUGUAAGAAAUAUAAUGACCAGAUAACGUUUGAAUCCCAGCCGGAGAGUCCAGCAGCUUCAGUUAGAGCAUCCUUCCAUCCUUGCACUUUGUCCAUGUCGUCUUUAAACCGCUGUUCGUACUCUUCGAAUGCUGCUUUGUAUCUUUCUUCCUGCUUCCUGACAGUUGAUGGAUCUACUUUGUAAAAAACCGGUAUCACGUCCCUUUCAUAUAUCUUCUUGCAGUUCAGUAUCUUAGUCAGUUCAUUCAAGCACCAGGUCGAAGAUGCAUAGUUUUCGGAGAAAACGAGGACAUAGAUCUUUGAUUCUUCUAUAGCAGUUUGGAGUGCAGGCGAAAUUUCUUCGCCCCUUUGUAGUCUGUCAUCUCUAUAUGCUUUGAUCCGGUUCCUGUGUAGCGCAUCAUAAAGGUGACUGAUGAAGUUGUAACGCGUGUCUUCCCCUCUGAAGCUCAGAAACACAUCAUACUUAGUGGGAGAAGUGGGCACAGCUAAUGACGAAGAACUCUCUGCCAUUGGAUUCAAUUUUCUCUCCUUUCUCUCACUGCAGCGGAAGAAGAGUGAGUUUGUGAACAGAAAAAUUAUCUAGCUGUUAGUUUUUGGAAAAGUUGAACGCUACAAGACGAGAUUAGCACUGGAUUUUCUUCUGCUAAAUUCAUUGCAUAAGGACAAGCAAAUAAACCUUUUGAAAAAAAAGUAGUCAAAAGAUAAUAAAGCAUGAGUCAAAAGAUAAUAAAGAUAAUUAUUGAGGCAAAAGAGAAAUAUUAAGUCAAUUGAAGACUCAAUAAUUUACAUAAUAAUUAUGGAAUCUAAAUUUAUAUCUUUGAUAGUUAAUAAUUGUUAAAAUAAAAGUAUUAUAAAAAAUAUAUACAAGCAGUGGAAAAGAUAAUAUAAAACGCAUUUAUAAAAGUAAAUAUUUUAAUUAACUUUUAUACUAUUAUAAUAAUAAAACAUUUAAAUAUAGUUACUACCUUUUGUGAACAGGAUUUUCAUCAAUCAUCUGACAAAUUCUUGGAUCUCAUAAAUUUUGUUUUAUAUAAUAUUGAUCCAAUAGCGUUGUUUAUUUUGCCAUGAAUAAAUUUCAAAUGGAUUGUUGAAUUUCUCUUAUGAAUAAAUUUAGAUUAUUGUUAAUCUUUAAAUUUGAUUUAGUUUAUACAUGUUUUUCCUUUCGUCACCUAACUAUAAUUACUUUCUAACCUUUCAAGCAUGCCUAAUUACUUAGUGUUUCAUUAUUCAAAUGAGAAUGAAUUGUUUAUUAAUAUACAAAUUAUUUUCAUUUACAAUUCUUUAAUUAGUGGCUAUUUCCCACCUUUAGUAUCACCACAAUUCCGAUAAAUUAAAAUCUUCUCUUCCUUUCUUUUUUCCUAUAAAACUGUUUUGUCUUUUAUUUUUGCAAAUUUUUGUACUCUUACAACAUACCGAACAACAAAUUAGGCAUUUAAGCUGUCAUUAUACAUAACAUUAAAAUGUUUUCAUAACCAUAACUAGACAAAAAAAAUAUCAUUCUUAUAAAAUUUCUAAAAUAAUAAAUACUUGUGUGAAUUUAUCAUAAUAUCAUAUUCAAUUUCUUUUAUUUGGUACGAAAUGAAGUUUUUGCUUACAUUAUUUGAUAAAGGAUAAAAAUGAAAAGUGUCGAAUAGUAUACUAUCCUUAUUUAAGUAUAAUUUUAAAUCAAAUUGUUUAUUAAAAUAUUAAUAUAAUGUAAAUUUGAAUGAAUUGUAUCAAAAUAAAAAUUAAAAAAAUAUAUUCUUAAAAAUAACUUCAAUUUUAUAAACUUAAAUGAAAAAUAAAAAUAUAUAAAAUAAAUUUGUAAACAAUUCUUUAAUAAUUAUAAUUUUUGUAUUACUAAUUUUAUUUUGAUCACUUUAUUUUUUAAAAAAAAAUAUACUAAAAUAGAACACCCUAAUAAUUAUUUUGUAAAAAUAAAUAUAUAAAAAAAAUUAUGAGUACAUAGCAUAUAUCUAUGGGUUGAAUAACACAAUAUUCAUAUCCGUCCCAUUAACAAAGAGAUAAUUUAGUAUCCUAAAUUUUUUUAUCCAUUUAGUAUAAUUUUUUUUAAAAAUUACUACUCUACACCUCAGUUUUGUUUAAAACCGUGGCCUUCUAUUUUUUUAUCUUACACGUUAAUUACAUUGAAUUAUGGAAAGCUAAUAAGCAUCAUAAAUUAAGAAAUAUGAAAUAAGAAGUGGAAAGCAAACUCAUCUAAUAAGAAGCACAGAAAAAAAAAAAAAACUUGAUUUUGAAAAUUAAACCGUAAUUAGCACAGAGAUUCAAAAAUUACAGUUAGUAAUCAAAAGAAAACACUUUAAAUCUGCGUUCUAAUAAGAUAAGAAUCAAACCAUUUGAAAUUCGAUACAAAGAAUUAUGAACAAAACAACUAUAGCAAAUGUAUUCUAAAAAUUUAAAUGUCAAAGACAUGGCUCUUUACACAGAAUAGACUGACAAAGUAAAGCGGUUGUUUUCUGAGAGUAAAAGUUGAACAUAGUUAUAUUGUAUGUUAAUCGUUAAGUGACGCAUACAAUGCAUAAGUCAAUCUUAUUAGAGAGAAUGCAACUGAGAAAUCCAUACGAUAAUAAUUACGAAUUACCCUUUCAAAUGUCUCUCUUCAAGAUUUCAUAAUGCCUUCGCUGCAAAUGAAAGCUAAAUAUGCUAAAGAAGUUAACGAAGCCCAUACAUAAAGAGUUUCAACAAAAUGUAACUUUGGGACAACGGAGCAACCCAACUUACGUCUACAUCAAACCCUAUCUAACAAUAACUUACAAAAUCUUGUCUGAAGGAACUCACCUGUAAAAUGCCAUUGAAAAUGUAAAUAAAAGAAAAUAAAUUAAAAAUGAGAAAUUCAUAAUAAAAGUUGAACUUUUUGAAACUUGUAAUUAACAAGGUGAUAAGCCACACUCACCAAGAGAAGACCAAUUAGCAAAAGAGCAAGAGACUAGCCCACUAAGUCGCUUUCGGCCUUCCUCUUCCUAUCCUCCUUUGUUUCCCUUGAAGACUCUGCAACAUUGCUUCGGCUGCUAUAAAGAGGGCACAUUCCGCAUUCUUUUAUUGUCACAACUGAUUUUAACUCAUUCACAACUGAGUCGUAAUCUGGCCACUGAAAGUUAUAAUCAUAUGGACUGAUCUCAAAAGUGAAGCUGCGAGCAUCACUGAGCCUAAGGUUCAUGCCGCUCCUCCUUAUACUCUCCAAGUUAAAUUUCCACAUAAAUAUGUGAUCUUUAUCAAGGAGUCCGGGACUAUAACCCCAUGUGAAAUAGUUGUUUAACACAUCAUUAUUUGGAAUUAUCUGUGUGCCAUCAUCAUCACAUUCAAAUUUUAGGUUGUAGCCAAAAGAACCGUAUCUGCUUUUAAUAUCAUUCGUAUCUAACAAUCCAAAAACCACACACAAAGUGAAACCAAUGAGCCUGUCAUCGCUGCAGAAACUUAAAUCUUCAUUUAUACUCACUGAAGGUCCUUUAUUGCGAAAAGGGAACCAAUGAGGAACUGCACUCCCUGGAAAACAGAAGACCACACACUUAUAUGUAUCAUCGGUCAUCCUGAGCCUUGCAUCUUCCUCAAUGUUAGCACGAGCACCUGAAUCCAGUUGUUGGGCAUUGGUGAAAUAAAAUUUGAAGACACCCUCCUUUGACUCUGAGAGGUUUCGAUUUGACAUCACUUGUCUAAUGGAUAGGCUAUCUAAUGCCACCAGUUGGUUUAGAGACGGUGGAAUCUGUGGGAUGCAUUCAAGAUUUUUGCAGCCACUUAAAUCAAGUGAUUUCAAGCUUAAAAGAUGAGCAAUGCUUUCAGGAAGGUUCACGAUUCCGCUCUCACUCAGUGACAGUUCCAUUAAUGACGACAGGCUACCAAUGUGUGUUGGGAUUUCUGUUAAUUUGGCACACCCCGAACAAUCAAGUUUACAGAGAUGUUUUAGAUUAACAAUGGAGUUUGGGAGUGAUUCAAGAUCCAUGCAUUUGUUGAGCUGCAGGGAUCGAAGAUUAACUAAAUUGCCAAAUGAGGAAGGCAGAUCUUUGAUAGCCGUUUCUGUUAAGUUUAUGUGAGCAAAAGUUUGUGUCUGCUCCGUGAUCUCUGGGAAGGUCCUCAACCUUAAGCAACCACACAAAUCAAGUUUCCUCAACUUCAAUUUGAAAAUGGUGCUUGGAAAAGUUUGAAGUGAUUCACAGUAGGAAAGGUCUAACGUGCAUAGUCUGGUGAGCCUUCCAAUGGAAGAUGGAAUACUCUCAAGAUUCCAGCAACUGCGCAAACUCAGUUCUUGAAGCCCUACUGCUAAAUUUUCCAUUGUGCCCUCGGGGAAAUUUUGCAAUUUUAAGCAACCACAGAGAUAAAGUUUCUUUAGGAAUUUCAUCUCAGAAAGGUCAAAUGGAAAUAUUGUAAGGGAAAAACAGUUCGAGAGAUUUAUGAAACAGAGAUUCUUGAGAAAGUUUAAGGGUAGACCUCCAGUGAGUCGCAUUUCAUCAUAUGCGUAUUUAUUAUUAUUAGUCAAUUGUUUUUCUUCAUCUGCUUCCCAAGAUCGGUCAAAAGUAAUGGAGAAAAUUGGACUGUAACAGGAUCUUCUGAGAUUUUUACGUCUAGCCAAGUUCGCCUUUAUGGAAUGAUGCAAUUGACUCGCCAGUUUCGCAUGAGGGAACAUUGAACAGAUUGAUGAUGACGAUGGUGGAGAAUAACAUAUUUGGGUUUGACCGAUUGAAAACAUUACAAGCUUGGGACACCAGGAAAGAUUAAUGUAUCCUGGUGAUCUGGAUAGAAUAUUGCAGGGAACAGUUACACUAUUGAGAUUAUGACAUCUAUCUAAACUUAAACAAGUGAGCUUGGUGAGUAAUAUGGAAGAGUGAACUUUAAUCAACUUUGGACAAUCAUUCAGAAUUAUUUCUUCAAUAUUUGGGGACAGGGAAAGGUCUUGUAUUCUAGUAAGUUUCUGAGAAUAACUCAGGUUGAGCCUUUUCAACUUGGGUAAACUCUGCCACAAUAAGUAAAUGAAUCAGAUAAUAAAGAAAAACUAAAAUGAAGUUUAUCUAUUUUUCUUGAAGUUAAUGGGAUCAUUAAGUAAAGAAAUAUUCCUUUUGAAUUAGGAAACAAUGUCAUUCUAUGAGGUUAACGAUGAUGACUAUAAGAUGCAUAAAUAUGUAUACACAAGUGUAUGCUAUACAUGAUGUUAUAUAUUGUAUAUGAUGAUCCCAUUGAUGACCAUCAUUGAGUGUGACCUUAUGUGCACUUUUCCCUUUUAUGGGUGCGUGUUGGCCUUUUGUGGGUAUAUAUUAAAUACAACACUCAUUAUAGAAAAAAAAAAUGUUUUAUGCAUCAAUGGUGAUAUAAUCAAAAAAAUUAAAGUAAAAAAAAAAAUGUAUUCUAUCCAGAUACCUCACAUAUAAUAUAGGUAGACAAUGCAACGAUGGACCAUAAAAUGAAAUGCAUGUUCUACAUAUUUGAUUUAUAAUUAUCUUUAGAAGCAUGUAAAUAUGAUUGUAAUGAUAUAUGCAUAAUUGAGUGGGUCUAAUAAAAGAAGUAUCAAAACAAAUAAUGUGGAGUAAAGGAAUUGUUAAUGAAAACAUGUAGAUAUAUAGUACAGAAAAAAUACUUGUAAGUUUAGAACAUAAAGGAAUAUAGAUAACUUGAAAAACCUGAUCUUCUUCCCAAAGUUGUUCAAGAUGGCAGUUUGGCAUUUCGAGUCUCACUAGAUUUUCUGGACAAAAGUUCGGUGGUAAAGAUCUUUGAGGAAAAUCUUUCCAAAAAAGAAUCUUUAAAGUGUCUGGCAGACUUACAAGAGAUGAUGCAAGAACCACUUUGGAUUUGUGUAGAUCUUCAUAAUCAUUGACUAUAAGCAUCCUAAGAUUAUCCAUCUUUUCGAAAGCUUGUCCAUGUAUUAUAACUUCUUUUAUUUCCCUCAAAUGUAGUAAGAUACACUGAAUUGCAUCUAACCCCUAAAAGUGAAUCAAUAUAAUUGGAAAAUAAAUAAAGGUGAAAUAUUCCAUAAUGUUUAGUAACAACUAAGUGGUUUGCAAUUUAUAAAAAUUAAAUCCAUGUAACUCUUUCAAUUGAGUGACAAUAGAACAUACCUUGUUCUUUUUUAAAACCUCAUGAAUUUCGUUAACCUUAAACAACCGACUGCGUUUUUCAUGAUAUUGAGGACACUCUUGACGAACAAUUUCUUUACCCAUUUCUUGUAUUAGAUCGUGCAUUUCAAUUCUACCAUUAGAGAUAGAUAUUAGACAUCUGUCUUUGAGAACAUCCAUUCCAAUCGUAGAAGAAAAAUCACAGUCAUCUAGUCUUUCUACUACCUCACUCUCGUGGUGUCCCCUAUAAAAGCAAGUUAUGUCAAGAAAUAUAUUCUUCUCCUCGUCAUCAAGCCCAUCAUAACUUAAUUUUAAUAUACUAAAAAUUUUAAGAUGUUGGCAUUUUUUCAACUUUUGUAACUCACUUUCCCAUGCUUCUCUUGUUCUGCCAUAAAGUAAUGAGCCCAAAAUUUGGAGAGCUAAUGGAAUUCCUUUGGCAUAUCUCAACACCUCUUCUACCAAGUCCAUGUACGUUGUUUCCUGUGAAGAGUUUUGUUUAAAAGCAUGUAAAGUAAAAAGUUUUAGGGAAUUGAGUUCAUUCAACUUCUCAACUUCGUAGAUGUCAUCAGCUCCAACAUUCUUUAACACUUGUUUGUCUCUGCUGGUUAUAAUGAUUCUACUGCCUUGUCCGAAACUAUCACACCUUCCUAACAAUUGUUUAGGUUGAACUGAAUCGGUAACAUCAUCAAGAAUUAUGAGAAUCUUCUUUCGUUUGAGUCUUUCACUGUACUCGGACAUGUAUUUUUCUCUGACAGUGUCUAUUCCAUCUCUUUCUAUUUUUUGUUGAGUGUCUAAAACAAGACUUCUGGAAUCAAAUUGCUUUGCAAAUGUGUGAUAUAUUUGUUCAGAAAUUGUAGUUUUUCCUAUUCCUCCCAUGCCACAAAUUCCUAUGAUCCGAAUAUCUGUUGACUCAAAAUGCAUCAAGAAUCGAAUUCUUUCAAUAUGUUUAUCAAUGCCGAUAAUUCCUUGAUCAUAACUAAUGGAAUAAAGAUCCAAUUUUUUCACAAUAUCUUUCACAAUUUCUUCAACAAGUGUGUUUUC
RNAcentral lists this long non-coding RNA (18782 nucleotides) under Vigna radiata. RNAcentral's name for it is "long non-coding RNA (VRAD_LNC000141)". The record is from RNAcentral. Lineage: Eukaryota; Viridiplantae; Streptophyta; Magnoliopsida; Fabales; Fabaceae.